Molecule: ribosomal RNA, 181 nt
Filed under: uncultured bacterium
Lineage: Bacteria
Description: partial 16S ribosomal RNA
Rfam family: Bacterial small subunit ribosomal RNA
Source: RNAcentral
CCUACGGGAGGCAGCAGUGGGGAAUAUUGCGCAAUGGGGGAAACCCUGACGCAGCAACGCCGACGUGAGUGAGGAAGGACUUCGGUCUGUAAAGCUCUGUUAAUGUGGAAAAAUGGUAGUUGGUCUAAUAGGCCGAUUAUUUGAUGGUACACAUAGAGGAAGCACCGGCUAACUUCGUGCC